UUCCGGUUGAUCCCGCCGGACCCCACUGCUAUCGAGAUGGGACUAAGGUAUGCUAGUCGAACGACCAGAACUAUGUCUGGGAGUGGCACACUGCUCAGUAACACGUAGCUAACCUACCCUUAGGACGUGGAUACCCCCGAGAAAUUGGGGUUAAUCCGCGAUAGAUGUAAUGUCCUGGAAUGGUAUUACGUCUAAAGGUAUUUCAUACAUGUUUGAAAUAUGCCUAAGGAUGGGGCUGCGGCCGAUCAGGCUGUUGGUGAGGUAAUGGCUCACCAAACCUUUGACCGGUACGGGCCAUGAGAGUGGUAGCCCGGAGAUGGACACUGAGACAAGGGUCCAGGCCCUAAGGGGCGCAGCAACCGCGAAACCUCCACAAUGCACUCACGUGCGAUGGGGCUAUCUCGAGUGCCACCUGAUGAAGGUGGCUUUUCCUAGGUCUUCAAAGCCUUGGGAAUAAGAGGGGGGCAAGACUGGUGUCAGCCGCCGCGGUAACACCAGCCCCUCGAGUGGUGGGGAUGAUUAUUUGGCCUAAAGCGUCCGUAGCCGGCCGAGCAAGUCUUCCGUUAAAUCCAGCGUCUCAAGCGUUGGACUGCGGGAGAUACUGCAGGGCUAGAGAGUGGGAGAGGUCAGCGGUAUUCUGGGGGUAGGGGCGAAAUCCUUUGAUCCCCGGAGGACCACCAGUGGCGAAGGCUGCUGACUAGAACACGUCUGACGGUCAGGGACGAAAGCUGGGGUAGCGAACCGGAUUAGAUACCCGGGUAGUCCCAGCCGUAAACGAUGCAUGCUAGGUGUUGGGUUGGCCACGCGC
Molecule: ribosomal RNA, 808 nt
Filed under: uncultured archaeon
Lineage: Archaea
Description: bacterial SSU rRNA
Rfam family: Archaeal small subunit ribosomal RNA
Source: RNAcentral